GACACAAUACGAUGGACCAGCUGAUCCUAGAACUAAAAAUCCUGCCAUGCAACCCAAUUCCGAUAAGACAACCGAGAAGGAGAGUAAACCAAAAGAAAAGGGGGAUAGUGGAGAGGAAACCAAAGAGAAAGAGAAACCUUACGUUCCUCCCCCACCAUAUAAACCACCCAUCCCGUAUCCUCAAAGAUUAGUACAAUCCAAAAACGUAGGG
RNAcentral lists this long non-coding RNA (211 nucleotides) under Trifolium pratense (red clover). RNAcentral's name for it is "long non-coding RNA (TPRA_LNC006407)". Lineage: Eukaryota; Viridiplantae; Streptophyta; Magnoliopsida; Fabales; Fabaceae. The record is from RNAcentral.